Molecule: ribosomal RNA, 253 nt
Filed under: uncultured Lactobacillus sp.
Lineage: Bacteria; Bacillati; Bacillota; Bacilli; Lactobacillales; Lactobacillaceae
Description: partial 16S ribosomal RNA
Rfam family: Bacterial small subunit ribosomal RNA
Source: RNAcentral
GCAUAGCCGAGUUGAGAGACUGAUCGGCCACAUUGGGACUGAGACACGGCCCAAACUCCUACGGGAGGCAGCAGUAGGGAAUCUUCCACAAUGGACGCAAGUCUGAUGGAGCAACGCCGCGUGAGUGUAGAAGGGUUUCGGCUCGUAAAAGCUCUGUUGUUGGUGAAGAAGGACAGGGGUAGUAACUGACCUUUGUUUGACGGUAAUCAAUUAGAAAGCCACGGCUAACUACGUGCCAGCAGCCGCGGUAAAU